CACCGUUACCACUGUUGCCUAGCCAGCGACGAUGCCGCUCGUCGCCCAGCCUGCCACGACCCUCGCUGCCUCCUUCUCCACCACCGCCGCUGCGCUCCGGCCAGCAACGACUGCAAUUGCCAGCCACCGCAGCCUUCACCUCAACCCCCUCGAUCUGCACCAUUGCUGCAGCCCCCUUGCUUUGCAUCUUUACCGCAGCCGCUGGUUGCCACCACUGCAGCCUCAACCCCAGCUGCUUUAAUGCCACC
Molecule: long non-coding RNA, 248 nt
Filed under: Musa acuminata (dwarf banana)
Lineage: Eukaryota; Viridiplantae; Streptophyta; Magnoliopsida; Zingiberales; Musaceae
Description: long non-coding RNA (MACU_LNC008879)
Source: RNAcentral